CAGAGGCAGUCCUUAGCUGGCGUCAGACUUGCGGCUGGAGGCACGGCUGGUGUGCCUGGUGUCCAGUGCCACCUUGUCCUGCUGCUGCCACCCUGGCGCCGCGAGCUCUGUGCCGAUGCUCCCUUCACCCUGUCUUGGGACGGCCGGCACUAAAAAUUCAUGCUGCGACACUCGAUUCAGCCAGGAGGUGAUAAAAAUUGCGAUUCGAAGCCAUGCCACUGGUGAAGAGGUAUCUUGAGCCCUGCCUGCCCCAGUGAGGUUACUAGACAAUUAGGAGAGGCUCAAAUCAGCAUUUUGCACGUGGUUGUGAAACCAUUGUGAACUCUUGACGUUUCUUUCCAGGUUCAGCUUUGGACAUCCAGGCCCCUCUGCGUUCAGCUCUUCAGCCUCCAUUUGACUUCGCAUUUCAUGCACUGCAGAGUUAAGUCAGGAAAGAAAACGGCUGUGCACAGAGGGAGAGCCGAGCAUUGUCUAUCCUUCAGAGACACCCCUGUGGCAGGCACACCCUAAGGUAGCUUUCCUCAGAAUCUGGAGGUGCCUUCAGAUCCAAGGAGCACGGUGCUAGGACGAGGCCUCAUUUGGCAUUAUUACACUUUCCAUGGUCAACAACCUGUUGCUGCUUUGGCAUAGUGCUUUGAAGAAAUCAAGCAUCAGUCCAAGAAGAAAUGUGAUCAAAGCAGCUGUCUUCACAUCACCGCAUCUCCCUGGCAAGGCCCAACCAUACCUCUGCCCUCUUAAUGCUGGUCCUGGUUGUGUGUAUUAUGGGGAUCAGUGAUGGCGUAUGCUCUGGGUGAAUUCAAGCACUGGGAGAGGGACUACUUCUGGCUGUCAUUUAGAGAAGUAGAAAAGGGGUGGUUUUCUGUAAUGUCACGCUGAUAGGGAGCAGCAUGGAGGGGAGGUAUAUACCCUGUAGGAAUCGGAAAACAGGUUUUUGUCACCGCUCAAUGCUCAGUAUGUUGCAAAUAGAGUUUUGGGACCAUCAUCUUCAUAUACAAGUCCCAACUUGAGAUGCCUCCAUUAUGGUAUCCAAGAGCCCUCUCCUCCCCUCCCCUGGCUUUUCAUGCCCUAGGGGACUCAUGGGCCAGCCUGUGUCCUGCCAGUGUGUCCUGAGUAUCUAUGAUUGUGCUCAAUUUGGGAGAAGGGUGGGGAAUCAGCAGUAUUAAGAUCUUAAAAGACUUUGUGUAUUUCAAAUGCCUCAAAGAAUCUUACAGUCUGGUACAUGCAGGACAUUGAAGCAACAAAUACACAUAACUAGAGACAUACUAACUUCACUCGAAGCACGUAGUUCCCAUGCUUUCCACUUGAACUUAAGAGAGGUUAAGUAAACGCAGUAGUGCUGCGUGCAUGCUAGAGUUGGGCGGUCUUAAGGAAUACCAUAGUUGUGUUAGGGCCACAGCACGUGGUAAAUAAUGUAGUGACAGGGUUUUCAGUCAGUAGGAUGGUUGCAGACACUGACCUGCAGAAUAACUUGGAACAAGUUUAUGAUGAAAAGAAAGACUGCUUUCAUCGGGAGGAGGACUGAGCCUGAUGCAGUUUGUCUGUGGUGCCCUCAGAAAUUGAUGAAGGACAUGUCUGCUAGUACUGAAUUCUUUUGAUUUUUGUUUAUCUGGGAAUGUCACAAUUUGUCCUUCAUUUAUCAAGGAUAUUUUUGCUGGAUACAGAAUUCUCAGUUAACAUUUUUUUCUUCAGUAGUUUAAAUAUGUUAUAUCGCUAUUUUUUGGUCUCAAUGGUUUAUGACGAGAAGUCAGUUUUAACUUAUUGAGGAUCCAUUGAACAUGGAGACCUUUAGAAACUUGUGAAGUUUUCAGUACAAAUACCACUGGAAUUGCAAUUGGAAUGGCAUUGAAUAUAUAGGUUAACUUUUGGAGAGCUAUCGUCUUUGUACUCUUCUCACACAUGCUUCUUCUCUCUGCUGCCUUUUGAGCUGCCAGGCAGUGUGCUGGGUGAUGGGGAUAUGGAGACGAACUAGAUACAGUCCCUGCCCUCAAGGACUUCUCAGUUUAAUGAGAGAGUUCGAUAUGUACAACAGUAUGGUAUGCUCCACAAUGGAGGUAUGUAUAAGGUACUAAUGGGGUUCAGAAGAGAAAUCAUUUGACUGAGUCUGGAGAUGCUAGAGGUUGGAGGAAUUAGUGCUUAAGUUCAUUCUUAAAAGAAGUAAAGAUUGACUGGGCAGAAAACAGAUGGAAGGACAUUCUAACCAAAGGCAUGGACACUGGAAAUAGAAUAAUGAAUUGGGAACUACAAGUGGUUCAUGAAAUUAGGUUGGAAAUGUAGGCUGAGAAUAGAUUCUUAGAUAGUAUGCCAUGAAAUUUAGAUUUCAUUUUGAGUGUUUUAAGAAGGGGGAGCUUUCGGUAGUCACUCUGCCAGUAGUAUGGAGUAUGUUCUGGAAGAUUUUCAAAUCUGGACAGGGAGAUCAGUUAGGAGGAAACUAUAGUAAAGGUGAUAAAUGAUCUAAGGCCACAAGAAAUGGGAGUGGAGAAGGGAUAACCUCUUAAGUAAGAUUAUAAAAACACAGACAUAAUAGAACAUGGGAAAAUUAAGGUGGUGAAGAGUGGGAAGAAAAUCAAGGCUUUCAGACUUUGGCAAACGUGCACCCUCCUACUGCCAGCCCUGGUCUUGAUGGAAGAUCCUCUGAUGUUCUUUAAAUGAGUGUUGCUGUGACCAGGGCUUGGCUGUACAGAUUUUGUAAGUUUCAUUCUCAGGAAAACAUCUGAACAGCUGCAGGGCUCUUAUAGUAUUACUAAGUUCUAUCUAAAACCCACUCAGGGAAGAAAUGGCCUUAUUAUUGUGUCGAUAGCUUUAUUUUGCUUAGGGAUUUAAAAAUGUUCAUGGCUACAACUCCAAGUAAAAAAUACAUUCAAUAAUUGAAAACCUAAACAUGUCCAGUGUUUUUCUCUUUUGUCAAAGCAAUAUAAACACAGUUUUCUUUGGGAAAGUCUGCACUUAAGGCUCAGAGCAGUGACCCUGGGGAUUCAGAGAAUGACUUUCUGUGACUAGAAUGAUUAAUAAUAGAUUAUAUUUAAGUAGGCCUUAUGCAUUUUCAGUGGACCUUAUGUAACUAGCCAUCCUGAAGGGGAAUAGUAAGAAGACGGGCUGGGAGACGAAGUCCUGAGCAGGAUGGCAAAGCAGCACAGUGAGAAUUUGGGCCUUGGGACUAGAUAGCCUGGGCUCCAAUCUGCUGUGACAUGUUUUCACCUCAAAUGCAAAAUAGGGAUUAUAAUAUCUUUUUGCAGUGAUUUCAGUGAAGGGGGGGACGGUAAAGAUUUAAUGAGACUAUUUAUGUAAAUUGCUUAGAACAGGUCUGGAAUAUGCUGCUGAUAAUGAUGGUAACCAUGACAAGGAUAAAAGCAGACAGUUAACGAGAGGGUGCUUGUACUUGACAUUGUCAAAUAGGUUGGGAAACCAGAUGAAUUUUGUCCAUGCCCUGAUCGCUAAUGUAUUGCCUUUGUUCUUAUUUCCAAGUAGAAAGCUGUUGAAAAGUUGUGUAACAUCUGAAUAGGGGUUAUCUUAAAAACAUAGACAAAUGCUUUGGAAAUGGUCAAAACUGGAUUUGAAACGUGACUCAACUGCUUACUAGCCGUGUGAUCUAAGGCGUUACUUAACCUCAUUGAACUUCAGUUUCUACAUUUAAUACAAUAACUAAUCUGCAGGGUUUCCAUGAGUAUAUUUGUAAAGUGUAUGCCAAAAGCACUCUAUACAUUAUAGCUAUUAUUGUUAGUUCUUGGACACUCACCGCGUGACAGAAACAACAGCAGGCCCUGGUGGCUGGGAGGACUUCAUGGAUCCAACAGCAGCCUGGAGUUGUGCUCUUCUGAAGAAAUCCUACUCGGAUGGAUAUAAUACAACCUGCUAAGUGUCCUAGCACUUAGCAGGUUGUAUUAUCAUUGUCCGUGUCUAUGGCUCUCGUCUACCAGACUCCAAAUUCCUUACGUGCAAGGACAAUGCCUUAUUCAUCUUUGUAUUCGCAGUGCCUAAUCCAGUGCACAUUGUAGGUCUCAUUAAAUGUUUGUUGAAUGAAAAAAUGAAUCAUCAACAGACAUUAAUUGGGCGCCUGCUCUGUGAUCUCCAUGGGCUGAACUUCUCCCCGCCAGUUGCCUACAACGUCCAAGCUGUCUUCAAUGUGCUUUCUCCUGAAGCUUACUCCUGUCUUCUAAUUCUUUUGUGGAGGAUUUUUCUGUGUAGUGCAAAGAUAGCAAAUAUACUUCAUCUCAAGGACCAUCUCCAAUUGAUUGAUAGUGUUUUCUAAAAAGGUUCUGAAGCCAGGUCUCAGCUCAGUGUGAACAGGGUUUAUAACUAAUUAGUGAUGCUUGCUGAGGGUGGGGGAAGAGGGAGCAGUAAUACAUGUGCCACAUACAUGUCAUUUAAUAUUGUGUUUUCCGUAAAAUACUCUUGUUUCUAUGCCUGCGUUUUCGUCAUGGCUAUUUGCAAGGUGUUCCUUGUGUAGGACCAGAGUGAUCGCUGAUCAGCAACUUCAUCCUCAGUCUGGAAUUUGCUCCUGUGGCUGGUAUUCACAAUUUCCCCCUUGCAGCUUUACCUCAGCCAUCCCCUUACCUACACUGACAGGUAGGCCUCCACUUUCUGUUCAGCACUCAACAGGUUCAUAUUUCCGUUUUCUUCCUUAGUGUGAUAAGUCAUUAUUGCUCCAUGAGAAGCCUGCUUUCUGUGAGAAGAUAGGACAACUAGAAUACAAGUUAAACCAUUCUUCCAGGGCCCUACAGUGAGUCAUCUAAGCUGUGUUAAUAAGGGAGAAAAUUGAAUGUGGUUGCAGGCAAGGGCAGGAAGAACCGAGAAGGUAGUCAUUGUAGAUGUGAGACAGAGAGGUGAUAACAGAUGGAAUAAGAUACUGAAAGAUGAUGCAGGUAGGUGGGAGGGUGAAAGACCUAUGGCUCUAGAAUGUGGCUGGAGGGUUAGCCUCAGGUGAAAGGAACUACCUGUUCACUGGAGCAUAGGGAUAGGGAUAGGAAGGACACCUAACAAGGGUGUUGAAGAUUUCUAAUUGUAGAGGUAAAUGAUGGAGAGCAAGAUGAGCAGCGACAGGAUUGUGUAGGCAAACUAGAGUUUCUAAGGAAUAUCCAAAAUGUCUGGCCUAAAGUCUGAGUGAGGCCAUUAACAGGAGAGCUUCUAUUAUAUCAAAGUGAAGAACUAGUUUCAAACUUGCAUAGAAACUCAGGAAAAUAGAAAGUGUUCUUGGGCCAUGGUCACAGGCAACAUUUGGUUGCCUGGGACUGACCUUGACUGAUUGAAGAGUACACAGUUAGCAAGAGGACUUACACAGAAAUGGAUCUGAGAAUCCAGACUACAUGGAAGGACAUUAGAUCAGAAGUGAGCUCAGAGUCUGUGAACAAAGAGGGGACUAGUGUGAUCAAAAUAGUUGACUAGUUGGAAAACUGGAAUGAUAGGACCUGGAAUCACAAAGUAGAUUUUGUAAUGUUAAGAUUUCACAACUGGAGUAGUCUCGAUACCUGUGAAGCAGCUAGGACAUCAAAUGGUCAUUUAUAUGGAUAUUUAAGUGACCCAUGGUUACAGUAAAAGCUUGGCUGGGGUGAACACUGUGGGCCCGAUACAAGAGGCUUCAGUGAGUGAGAAAUGAUGUGGAGGUUGGCAUUGGGGUGGAGUAUGAGCCUCGGAAGAGUGGCGGGGAUUACUAGAAGAUACAGACCAGUUUGCACAUUGCACUAAGGUUUUGGCCAGCAGAAUGAAUGCCAGAGAAAAUGAUCCAUAGUGAGUACCUUUUGCCGGCACCUUGCUAUAUGCUAUCCAUUUACCCAUUUUGGGUCUGUCACCUUUUAGAUGUGACGGUGAGCAGCAAUCCCAGGGGAGGACAGCUAGGGGAGCCGCUGGCCGUAGCACUGAUGGAGUCCUGUGGAUAUCUCCUCUAACUCUUUGAAAGAGCAGCAGACUGGUCAACUUGAAGUGGCAUAAAGAUUUAGGAUUAAUUUUUUUCCUUGACCUUGACCUAACUUCAUUGAAUGGUACAAGCUUUUGUUGGCUGUGCUCCGUAAUGUACUUUAGCCUCUGAGUGUCUAAGUUGAGGUAUGAGCUAAUACUGUCUUUCAAAAAAUCCAGGCACGGAACUUUAAAAACACAUAUUGAGUAACUAGAACAAGACACACAGUCCUAUUAUCUAAUUGAGCUUUAAAGAUGAAGGGAUCCAUCCUGUUUAAACCCUACUGUAGCUGUUUCUGUUCUGUUGGGAAGGAGGCCUAGAAAUUGAUGCAGAGGGAUGACCCUUAGGACUUGGAAGGUAAAGAUUAGAAGAGUGUCUGUGAACCCUCUGACAUUGCAUGCAGUCAAUUUUCUUGUUAUGAUCUUCAAAUGAACCAAUAUUCCAGGAAAGGUUUGGAGGCACUGUGUUUGAGUGGCCAGGACUUCAGACAGCCCACCCCCUCCUGUGGGGGCUGCUUUAUAUUUAUUCCUUAGGAGGAGCUGCUGGAAGACUUCAUGUGAGAGAAGAAAAGGAAAGAAGCAGAGGAUAAUUACAGCCUCUUUUCAUCUGAGCUUCACAAAGCAUGAUUCAACAGAGGGAUCACUCUCCUGAGACUCUCCAGACCACAGGAUAGAUGAGCCAGAAGCAGUGGGCAGAAUGGCUCCAGGCAACCCCAGUCAUCAGAUACGGCAUAAGGGAACUAUAUAAUGAAAGGUCAAUCCUUGGACCUACUGUCAUUCUCCAGAGCAUGAUGGAAUAAAGAAGAGCUGCUUUGCAGAAGGGUUGUAAAAGAUCCUUUCACAGAAGAGAUUUAGACGAGGUGAAAUUUCCAGCUACGUAAGAUGGGCUUUUAAAGACAUCUGUUCCCUACAUGGGUCAUGGAGAUGGAUCCCAGUAUCAGCCUGGGGCUGACUAGGCCAGUUUAACUUGGUUUCAUGCUCUUGGAGUGAUUGCUGCCACUCUGUCUCCCUUUGGCAGGUGUUCAUCUGCAGUGAGUCCUGAAGGAGCAAGAGGACAAGCAGCCAGGGACAACACUGUGGCCUUCUGAGUGAAGACAGCAACUGAAAAGAUGAUGCAAUGGACUAGAGUGAAGACAAUGAGCUGCCGCUGAGAUGCCAAGGGGCAGCCAGAUGGCUCAGUUGGUUAGAGCACAAGCUCUCAACAAGGUUGCUGGUUUGACUCCCACAAGG
Molecule: long non-coding RNA, 7116 nt
Organism: Rhinolophus ferrumequinum (greater horseshoe bat)
Lineage: Eukaryota; Metazoa; Chordata; Mammalia; Chiroptera; Rhinolophidae
Exons: 9
Source: RefSeq, a predicted model, not a curated record